AGUCGAGGGGUAGAAGGCUUCGGCCUUUGAGACCGGCGCACGGGUGCGUAACGCGUAUGCAAUCUGCCCUCUGCAGGGGGAUAGCCCGGAGAAAUCCGGAUUAAUACCCCAUAGCAUAUAGAAGUGGCCUCACUUCUAUAUUAAAGAUUUAUCGGCAGAGGAUGAGCAUGCGUCCCAUUAGCUAGUUGGUAUGGUAACGGCAUACCAAGGCAAUGAUGGGUAGGGGUCCUGAGAGGGAGAUCCCCCACACUGGUACUGAGACACGGACCAGACUCCUACGGGAGGCAGCAGUGAGGAAUAUUGGUCAAUGGUCGCAAGACUGAACCAGCCAUGCCGCGUGCAGGAUGACGGUCCUAUGGAUUGUAAACUGCUUUUGUACGGGAAGAAACCCCCUUACGUGUAAGGGGCUGACGGUACCGUAAGAAUAAGGAUCGGCUAACUCCGUGCCAGCAGCCGCGGUAAUACGGAGGAUCCAAGCGUUAUCCGGAAUCAUUGGGUUUAAAGGGUCCGUAGGCGGCUGUAUAAGUCAGUGGUGAAAUCCGGCAGCUCAACUGCCGAACUGCCAUUGAUACUGUACAGCUUGAAUUAUUGUGAAGUAACUAGAAUAUGUAGUGUAGCGGUGAAAUGCUUAGAUAUUACAUGGAAUACCAAUUGCGAAGGCAGGUUACUAACAAUACAUUGACGCUGAUGGACGAAAGCGUGGGUAGCGAACAGGAUUAGAUACCCUGGUAGUCCACGCCGUAAACGAUGGAUACUAGCUGUUCGGUAGCAAUACUGAGUGGCUAAGCGAAAGUGAUAAGUAUCCCACCUGGGGAGUACGAACGCAAGUUUGAAACUCA
RNAcentral lists this ribosomal RNA (839 nucleotides) under uncultured bacterium. Its description in RNAcentral is "bacterial SSU rRNA". It matches the Rfam family "Bacterial small subunit ribosomal RNA", at positions 60 to 903 of the family's 1533-position model. The record is from RNAcentral.